ACCCCGGAAGUGGGUCGGGGGCUUGGCCUCUGCCCGGCCGCGGAGCCGGAGCAGGCGGUGGUGGCCGCUGGAGGUCCCGCCAGGCGAUCCUGUCUGGUGGCGGAACCCGGACGCGGCCCGAGUCGCGGGGCCCAGGAUGCUGAACGUCCCUUCCCAGGCUUUCCCGGCCCCCGGCUCCCAGCAGCGCGUCGCCUCCCAGGGGCGCAGCAAGGUACCUUUAAAGCAAGGCAGAAGUCUUAUGGACUGGAUUCGACUGACCAAAAGUGGAAAGGACUUAACCGGACUGAAAGGCAGGCUAAUCGACAUAACUGAAGAAGAACUUAAGACACACAACAAGAAAGACGACUGUUGGAUAUGCAUAAGAGGGCUUGUUUACAAUGUCAGCCCCUAUAUGGAGUAUCAUCCUGGCGGGGAGGAUGAACUGAUGCGAGCAGCAGGAGCAGAUGGAACGGAUCUUUUUAAUGAGGUUCAUCGUUGGGUCAAUUAUGAAUCCAUGCUGAAAGAAUGCCUGGUUGGCAGGAUGGCUGUGAAGCCUGCUGUUCCAAAAGACUGCCAUGAAGGAAAGAAAGUCUUAAAUGGCAUGCUUUCCAAGAGCCAAGUGACAGAUACGCUGCCCAGGGAAGGCCCUAGUUCUCCAAGCUAUGACUGGUUCCAAACAGAGUCCUCAGUCACCAUUGCUAUAUACACCAAACAAAAGAAUAUCAAUUUAGACUCAGUAAUGGUUGACCUCCAGGGUGACUCCUUGAGAGCAGAAACUUUUAUCCAGGAUCAUUCUUAUCUUGUACACAUUGGGCUAAGCCAUGAAGUUCAAGAAAAUUUUUCUGUACGGGUCAUUGAGAAUGUUGGAAAAGUAGAUAUUGUCCUACAAAAGAGAGAAAAUAUUUCUUGGAAAUGUCUUGGUCAGCCCUUGGAGAAGCAUGAUUCCUUUAUUCCAAAGAAAGAUACAGGCUUGUCCUACAGAAGGUGCCAGCUGAUUUCCAAGGAAGAUGUUACUCAUGAUACAAGGCUUUUCUGUCUGAUGCUGCCUUCAAGUACUCACCUUCAGGUGCCAGUUGGGCACCAUGUUUACCUCAAGCUCAGUGUUACAGGUGCAGAAAUAGUAAAGCCAUACACACCCGUGUCUGCCUCCUUACUCUCAGGCUUUAGAGAACCAGUUCCUCCCCCAAAUAAAUACAUCUACUUUCUGAUCAAAAUCUAUCCUGAUGGACUCUUCACACCAGAGCUUGAUCGUCUUCAGAUUGGAGAUUUUGUUUCUGUAAGCAGUCCCGAGGGCAAUUUUAAGCUAUCUAAACUCCAAGAAGUAGAAGAUCUGUUUUUAUUGGCAGCUGGAACAGGCUUCACACCGAUGGUUAAUGUGCUGAACUACGCUUUGACUUGCAUGUCCAGUCUCAGGAAGGUGAAAUUGAUGUUCUUCAAUAAAACAGAGGAUGAUAUAAUUUGGAGAUGCGAACUAGAGAAAUUGGCAUUUAAAGAUAAAAGAUUUGAUACUGAAUUUGUUCUCUCAGCACCUUCUCCAGAAUGGAAUGGCAAACAGGGACAUGUAUCACCAGCUCUUCUCUCUGAAUUUUUGCAAAGAAGUUUAGAAAACUCCAGAGUCUUCCUUUGCAUCUGUGGACCCACACCAUUUACAGAUGAGGGGGUGAGCUGUCAGUAUGAACUGUCAUGAAUCAGUGCCACAAUCUCAUUCGGGACACUGGGCUCUCUAUCUCCCCUUCUACCACUUUAAUGUUGCUGCAUGAUCUUAACUUUUCCAAUGAUGAGAUCCACGGAUUCACAGCUUAAUAAAAUGCUGCCAUUGUCUUUUAUUCAACUAGUUUAUAUUUGUGAUCACCUAGGAUUUUUUAAAAGAAUUUUUGUAUGUACGAAAGGUUAACCAGGCUUCCAUUUCCGGAAUGAAGUCGUGUGUCUUCAGUAUAGGUAACUUGGUUUAAUUUUGUACUGUGACUUCCUUUACUACUGAUGCCUGACCCGGGACGUCAAUCAUGGCAGCAGACACAUACAAAGAAGAGCCUUUGUUAUGACCUGCAAGUUUUCCUUACCACUGAAAUUGUAUCACUGUUCUGCAAUAAACACUUGUAUUUUAUGACAUGAUAAAGUAAGUAAUCAUUUUGAUCACUUUCUAUGCUGCAAGAUGUCUUCUGAGCAAUAUAGAUUAAAUUUUACACUGUACUGUUUACUCAGGAAUUGAUGGUGUAUGUCAUUAUUAAUCUUAAAACAUGUAAUGCUGUAACUAUUGGUGAUCUAGUUCUGUGGGUAUCCAUGGCAUUGAUACAGAGUAGAAUAAAAUUAUACUGCCAUACUUUUAUUCUCUGUGUUAGACAUAUGAUUGAAAUAGAGUGGCUGUCUUAAAGGGAAUUUUAUUUACUUAGUUGUUUAUUUUUUCAGAGUCUCACUUAGUAGCUUUGAUUGGGCUAAAAUUUGCUAUGUAGCCCAGCAUGGCCUGAAACUUGCAGUGAUCUUCCUGCUUCUGCCUCCUGGUGCUGGGAUUACAGGUGUGUGCUCCCAUGUCCAAGUUUAAAGGAGAUUUUAAAGACACCAGUAGAGUUCAAUUUCCAAGCCCCAGAUGGUAGAAGAAAACUAACUCCUGCAAGAUAAUCUCCACGUUCUCAGAAUGGCAGUGCACUCCCUGCCAUGCACACACAAAUAAUAAAUAAAUACAAUUUUUAAAAAAGUUUUAAGAUACCAAUAAAAAAUAUUGGAAGUGCUUCACACUUGCAGCCUGGGACUAGGUGUUUAAAGAGCUUGCCAGAACCCUAGCAACUGUUUCUAAACCCAGACCAAAGGUGUCAGCAAAGGUUGAAGAGUGGCAUCCAGCCCAUGGCCUGGGACAAUCUUUCAUCCUUCUGCCACCCAUCCACACCGGCUGGGAAGAGGAGGAACAUUCUGUCCUCGGAGGUUCUCUCCAGGUUGACUGCUUCCCCAGACCAGCAGCUGGCAGAUGAGCAGGGAGCCCUGUUAACUCUGGUAUGGGCAGUCUUCAAACCCUUCCAAGCCUGAGACUGAGCAGAGGAUCAAGAGCUUUUCAGAAGGACGCGCUGGAUGCAUAGAUGGCUGCUGCUCUCCUAAUCCACGCAGCAGCAGUGUUUAUACAGACAGAGCUGGGAGGAGUCCCUGGUUUUCCAUGAAUGGUUUUGUAAGUCGCUACCAUCUCUGAAUGAGUGCCCAGCUCAUUAGCACUUCCCAAAGGACCGACCAGCACGCUGCAUGUGUAAUCUCUGCUGGCAAAUGCCUCUUGAACACCCAUUCCUAUCCCUGUGUCUUCCUCUCCCGAGGCUAGAGUCCAGCAGCUCAACUGCAGCCGUGCUGCUCACAGGGACUUCAGAUCCUUGUUACCCCUCAUCUCUUUCCCCUGGAAGGAGAUGUGUGCCAUCUUCUCUUUUUUUCAGUAAUUUGUUGGUAUUUUGUCAGUUAACUUUCUUUCAUGAGUGUCUUGAUGUUUCAUCUUUUCUAACCUUUUUUGUCCUCCACUCCUGUUCCAGUUACUACAAGAAAGCGAUUCUCCUCUGCUGGAUCUCUUCUUUGUUCCUCCUUUUUUUGUGCUUUAGAGCAAAAGAAAAGCCAGAAGCCCUGCAGAUUUCUACUCACACAUUGGUUUGCACAUUAGUUUAAAAAAAAAAAAAGUGUGGUUUUUGCCCAUUUGUUGAGUGGAUAAUUUAUUUUUCAGGUGCUUUUUUUUUAAAAAAAAAUUCUUUGUCUAUUCUAGAUGUUAUCCCCUGUCAAUGAAGUAGCUGGCAGAAAUGUUUCUCUCCCAUUUUGUAGGUUGCCUGACUGUCACCACUGAUGGUUUUGGUUGCUGUGCAGAAUCUUUUCCUUCCAUUUGGCAACUCUUGCUAUCAUUUUCUGAACUAUUGGAGUCCUGUUCAGGAAGCCCUUGCCUGUGCUGUCAGUGUUUUCCUCUGGUGUUUUCAGUAUUAAACUAAAGCCUUUGGUCUAUUUAGAA
RNA transcript from Chionomys nivalis (European snow vole), 3940 nucleotides. It is a transcript of the gene named cytochrome b5 reductase 4, with no coding region annotated. Lineage: Eukaryota; Metazoa; Chordata; Mammalia; Rodentia; Cricetidae. The record is from RefSeq and is a predicted model, not a curated record. The transcript is spliced from 17 exons.